This 30-nucleotide non-coding RNA is filed under the name Mus musculus (house mouse). Lineage: Eukaryota; Metazoa; Chordata; Mammalia; Rodentia; Muridae. The record is from RNAcentral.
UAGGCAAGACAGACUAUCAGCCCUGCAGGC